Molecule: long non-coding RNA, 2467 nt
Filed under: Citrus x clementina
Lineage: Eukaryota; Viridiplantae; Streptophyta; Magnoliopsida; Sapindales; Rutaceae
Description: Citrus clementina (C. clementina) long non-coding RNA (CCLE_LNC003679)
Source: RNAcentral
CCUUUAUAUUUUGAGUUAAAUGCAUGUUUAGUUAAUUUAUUUUUAAAAAAAAUUCUCAAGACAUCAUACUGUUAAAUAUGUUACACUCUAGUCACUUGGGCUUGUAGCCCAGUGGUGAGUCAUUACCCUUAAAGUUAAGCAUGACUAUAAGGGCAAUGGUUUAAGUUCCCAUGGACUCAACCUCCCUCAAUUAAACAUAAUUGUGUGGAGAUUACUUAUAACAUUUUUCUCCCUUGCGAAAUGCGAGUGGAGUAGAGACAUCCCUCUUUUGUGAGGAGUAUUUGGCUAGACAUGUACUUCAUAAAAUAAAAAUAUAAUAAUGUGUCUAGACAUGUACUUCAUAAAAUAAAAAUAUAAUAAUGUAAGUCUUAGGUAGACAUCCCUCUUUUGUGAGGAGUAUUUGGUUAGACAUGUAUUUCAUAAAAUAAAAAUAUAAUAAUGUGGCUAGACAUGUACUUCAUAAAAUAAAAAUAUAAUAAUGUAAGUCUUAGGUAUAUAUCUGGGACUAAAUAUCUAGCAAUGAUUUGUUGUCAUAACAAUUAUAAAUAUCUAUGUAAUACAAUAACCUAAUGCUUAAUCAGUUCAAAAAAAAUGUUACACUCUUACCCUUACUUUUUUAUUUUCUUUUAUAGUAAUGCCCUUACAACACUAUUCAAGGAAUAUUAAUUAAAAAUAAAAUUUUACCAAAUUAACAUUAAAAGUAACAUAAAAAUUUACAUAAUUUUUAUUUUAUUAUUUUACUUUAGGAUUAAUUUGAUAAAUUAAUCUUUUACAAAAUAAAAUUCUUAUACAAAUAUUAAAAAAAUACUAGCCUUUUACACUAAUACUUAUCAGUUAAUUUUACGAGUGGAUAAUUCAAAAUUACCCAAAAUUUAUUAUCAUUUAUGAUUCACCUCAGCUAAAAAGAAGAAAGAAAGAAAGAAAAGUGAAGGGAAAUGGCAUAGAGGGGUAAAAUGGAGAAAUGAGGAAAUGGUGUGGAGGAGGACAAUACAAAGCUGUCCAAUCAAUCAAUGUCCCGAAGUAAUCAGACAAAAGAGGAAAGCCCAAGCCUUUUCUAUUUUUAGGGACACCCGAUGACAAACUUCACUCGUACACUUAUGCCUCCAUCUUCUAUCCUAUUCCAUAAUUCCACCCGGUGCCACCGCUCCUAACCUGAUCUUUCUCUCUCGCUCGCUCGCGCGCACUAUCACUAUCUAUUUUUUUUGAAUUUUGGAAUUAUUAUUUUCGUAUUUAUUUUUUUAAAAAUCAACUCAAAAGCCCCCUUUCUCUUUUCCAUGGAGCGGCCCCUAAACGCCCUCCACCGGCCCCCCUUGUUCCCCGACCCGCCACGUGUCUAAAUUUGUAUCCUUGUUGCACCCGCUCCCUUCUUGUGGCUUAUCCGCUCAACUAAAUCCUGCUAUGCCAACGCAUAAAAUAACUACGUAUAUUUUCUUAAAAUAAAUAAAUACAUAAAUACAUACGUACACACGCACCCCGCCUAUAUGUAUAUAUUUAUUUAUUUUUAAAUAUAACGGGUGGACAAAAUUUAAAUCAAUUUAUAUAAAAUUUACAGCCUGAAUGAUCAAAUUUAUUAUACUUUCAUAUGUGAAAUUUUACAAAUUGGCGAAGUAAAAAAAUAUUUAUUUUUAUUGAAAUUAAUUUUGUGUAUUUGGUGAAUUUUAAUGACAUUAUUUUUGUAAAGACCAAGCUUUCUAGUUCAAUGCCCUCAAUUCUGCUUUAAAAUUGAAGGGGGAAAAAAAUCUGUAAAUUACAUUAUCAGACCACUAAAAUUUUGGUAAUCAAACUUAAUUUUGUGAAUGGCAUUUGCAAGUCACUUCGGGAAGCUCUUUCCGUAUGUAUAGAACUUGGAAAGAGCCAAGGGAGAGUUGAUCUUCUUCUGGCUGUACCACUAAGAAACCAGUUGCAUAAGGACUAUGAAUAUUUUCUUCAUUUAUAUCUAUAUUUCUAAAUCCCCAACAAUGAGGAGAUCAAUCCGUACUGUGUGAUUUGAGUUUAGCUACAUGAUAUUGAGACGCGACCAAAAAAAAAAAAAAAGAACCAACAACCCCUGAUAGUAUAAUUUAUUAUUAUUUUGUUGGCAUUUUUAGUAGGAAAAGAAGAAAAAAAUGCAUGCGUGCUAAGAUCUCGUGAUUCUCGAUCUCAACAUCAUAUCCCACAGGGAGAUUGCUAAUUUCUUCUUUGUGGAAAAUAACAUAUACCAUCUACCUCCUACUGUCCGGUUCGACUCGCAGGGAAGUCACAUUUGUUGGGAGAACCUGUGCCUCUCGGUUUGAGCGGAGAUUUCUAGUAUAGGUUGUGGUACGGGUUUAAAGGUACCUCCCACAGUUAGGGUUCUCCCCAUAAUACCUCGUGGUCAAAACCAAAAAAAAAAAAUCUACCUCCUAUUGUUUUUAUAAUAGCAAAGAACUUCCUCAUAACAUAAUUUUACAAUCUUACCCUUAUUUUGAAAUACACUUUUAUUCAUAUU